AGAUCUGUGAGAUGAUCAGGCAGUCCACCACUUCUUACCUGGAGCCCUAUCUCAGGACUCUACCAGUCACCGUGAUGAUUGAUGAGACUGCAAGCCUGGAUUACAGAUUGGUAGGCGCACCCCAGGUGACUUCUGAAGGCCUAGAUACUCCCUUCAAGCAAAGCUCGAGGAGGGCUUCCCACUCCCUAUGCCCAGGCAGAUCUUCCUCAACAACGUGGAACUCCAAAUUCACAAA
This is a long non-coding RNA of Cavia porcellus (domestic guinea pig), 235 nucleotides long. RefSeq lists it as uncharacterized. The transcript has 3 exons. The record is from RefSeq and is a predicted model, not a curated record. Lineage: Eukaryota; Metazoa; Chordata; Mammalia; Rodentia; Caviidae.